AGCGCCUCCCACCCCAGAGACCUUUGGUCGCAGCCUGGAGAUCAGCUCAGACAAGAAAACAACCAGGGAAGGCACACAGCCCUGUGGGGAGGCGUUGGGGCGUGAGGUUGAGAGAGACAGAGUGGCCUGGCCUGGCCUGCCCUGUGAGCUGGGUGAGUUGGCACUGAUUCUGGAAGAUGGACGUGAAUGGGCGUGGUCACUUGUCGCUAGACUCUGGGAAACGCUGCUGCUGUUUGACAUCGCACAGUCAGAAGGGAUCGUCUCAGCCAGCCUGCAGCAUCUGUCACUUUGACCAUGAGACGCUGCCUCGAUUUCCAAUCCAGGUGCAAAGCUUCAGAUAGGAGUUUGGGAAGCACAGCAAUCCCCAUCUCUUAUUUUUUUCAACUUUCAUUCCAAGAAAAUAGGACCUUGAGUCCAAUUCCCAGAGCUGAGACUUGAGGUCCAACUCUGCCUUCACCUGCACCCGGCCCUGGAGGUCUGGGCCCCUUUAUUCCAGCUCCCGCACAGGCUGAUGCCCCACCGCACCCCAGGGCUCCGCUCCCCAAAUCACAACCUCCCCACCCCCACGCCUCCCUCAUUACAGGGUCCUCCACCAUGUUUCCCUUUUUUUUUUUUUUUUUACCUCCCCGCCAAUUACUUGCCCCACCUCAUCCGCGUCUACCUGCUCCCCCUCACCCCAUUAAAGCCUCGUGCUCCUUUCCAAA
Homo sapiens (human) is the source of this 704-nucleotide long non-coding RNA. The record is from Ensembl. Lineage: Eukaryota; Metazoa; Chordata; Mammalia; Primates; Hominidae.